This is a long non-coding RNA of Quercus robur (English oak), 1220 nucleotides long. RefSeq lists it as uncharacterized. The record is from RefSeq and is a predicted model, not a curated record. The transcript has 3 exons. Lineage: Eukaryota; Viridiplantae; Streptophyta; Magnoliopsida; Fagales; Fagaceae.
UAAAAGAGACUUGUUUUUCAGAGGCAAUAAGUGCGUGAAAGCAUAUUUUCAUUAUUUUGGGUAUGUUUUCAUUUCAUUGAACAAAGCAUCUCCUCAAAACCUUUCACAUUUUUGGCAAAGCAUCUCUGCUUUUCUUCUCUGUUGUACUAUUAAACCAGUUCAGGCUCCCACAACCACUCGUUUUCAUCCUCAUCCACAUUCCCACUCUCUAUAAAAUUAUAACAUCCUCUCAACCCCAAUUACACCAUCAUUUCUUAGAGCCUCUUGGGUGAGAAAGAAAAUUAUUUUUAGGUGAAGUCUCACAGAGGAAGGGAUUUCUAUAAGGGAAAAAAAAUAUUUAUUUAUUUUAAAUUUUUUUUCCUUUAUAAAAAUCCUCUACUCUGUGAGACUUUCCGUUCUUUGGUUUUGAUUUUGUUGAGGCUCUAAAGUUCGUUUGUGUUUCUGUUAUUUGAUUUUCUUAAGUGAAAAAAUCAAACAUCUUACAAAAUCCUCUACACACAGACCUUCAACUGAAACAUUCUUACCUUCACUCACAUUUUCAUCCCUUAAGUCUCAAACAAAACCACCCACUCUGAGCUAACAUCAAACAUGCACCUUGAAAAACACUCAUAAACUCUCUCUCUCUCUCUUCAUCGCUACCAAAACCCCACCAUAAAUAUGCCUCUACCAAAAAAGUAGCAGCCAGACAUGUUGAUCUCUUUCCAACAUCAUUAUUAUUGCUACAAUGAAUCAGUAAAACCAUUGUGGACAGUUCCAACUGCUCUUAGAGAUGGGUCAAUUUUCCUAAACUCGUUUAAUAUGGGUUGGAUUUGCAAGUUUGGUUUAAUCCUUUUGGGCUGAGUCAACCCAUCUCAAUAAUGCCCUAGCUUGUGGAGAAAGAGAGCCACUAUUGAUGCUAUCAACGAGUGGUGGCUGAAAUUUGGUGCUAUCAACGAGCUGACAGCUUUGUGGCUGAAAUUUGGGCUCUCCGGGAUGGUCUCCAGCUUUGCCGUCAACUGAACAUUGGUGCUGUUGUGAUUGAACUUGAUGCAAAGUCGCUGGUGGACGUUCUAAAUAAUUCUUCAUAUUGUAAUAUUGUGAUUUCUCCCCUGCUGGAUGAUUGCAAGCUCUUAAUUGAUCAAUUCCCUCAGGUUCGUGUUGAGCAUACUUUCCGGGAAGCCAACAAAUGUGCGGAUCGUUUAGCUAAGUUUGGUCUGGCUCAAUCUAUGGUUUUUUCUGUU